GUACAAUCGUACUUCCCUUUUCACAAGAAAUAUUCCUUAACAUUUUGUCUUUAUCUUCAGGCAACUCCCUUGUUCUUUCUCUUAGUUUUUCUUGCAAUGGACCAUCUUUAGAUGUCUGCUGGGCAUCCUUUAUGCUCAAUAGGCCAUUGACUUUCUCUGCAACCUUCUUUCUCUCUUAUACCCUUCUUGAAUAUUCAUCAAAAGACUGUUUAAUUUUGACCUAAUCUUCAUGUGCCUCUUUUGGUGAUAAAGGGGUAAGGACAUGAUUCAGACCGUCCUUACGUAAUGAAUGUCGAUUGGUGUGACUGUAAUGUUGUACUUGUCUAUCAAACUGCCAAGGUCUCCCAAGUAUCAGACGACUAGCAUGCAUAGGUACAAUAUCACAACAUACCUCAUUGUGAUAUUUUUUAUGGAGAACGGUACUAUGACUUACUCGAUAACUUUGACUUUGCACACUCAUUCAACCACUGUAACUGAUAGCGAUUUGGAUGCUUGAUGCAUGUCAACCUUGCUCUUUCCACGAAUAGAGUGCUUGCUACAUUAGCACCACUACCACUAUCAAUGAUCAUUCCACAUAUCUUAUCAUUGACAAGACAUCGCAUGUGGAAAAUGUUCUCCCUCUAUUCAUUGUCUUCACUCUUAACUUGCAUGUUGAGAGCUCUUCGAACAACAAGGACAUUACUCCUAAGUGGAGUAUCUUUGAAUGAUUGAGACAUAGUAUAGUACCUUUAAGAAAGGUUAAUGAAAAGAAUAUAUUCUCUCCCUCACCUUCGCUCGUGUUUAACUCGUAAUCCCUCAAUUGAUAGUUUUGUCUGUCGAGUUGAGUGUCCAAAAUUAGAAUCGCUUGAACCAGCACGUUAGUCUUUAUGACACAAUAAAGAACCCUAAAAGAUUCUGAUUUCUACUGAAGCUCAGAAACAAGCACACAGAAAAAGGAAUGGUGUGCUUCUUAUGUGUUAAAACCCUAGUAACAAUUUGUCGCUUAGCUAUGUAAUGGAACAAGUGUAAAAUAAAGAACAAAAUGUAGAUCACAAAGAAUGACAAUUCAGACUAAUGCAUAGGGAUUCAAUCAAUCCUUAUGAAUAUAAUUGAUAGGUAUAUCUUCCUAUACUACCCCCAAUUUUUUGGUUGUGCUCUAUGACUGAUCAAGUUUCUUUAUGCAACGUUGAUGCAGAUUACAGAAAUGUAAUUCAAAAAUUAAAUGUGGAUAGAGUGCGGAAUAGAAACAAAAGUUUUCACUCACAACAGUUAGGCAAUGUAUUUUGCCUUUGAUUUCUUAAAGGAUUUUUGGUCACCAAUUAGGCGGCUAUUCUACUUUUAUGAUGCAAAAUGCAAGCAAAGGUGCUAAUUGCCUUAUGUGGUGCAAUUGGAGUAUUUUUGGUAUUUUGAUAAUAUUUCUUUUUUUUAUUUUGAAUAAUAGUACAAACUACUUGAAUUAAAUGGAUAGAUAUGAAUUCAAGCAGGAUGCAAUACGAAUUAACAAUCAAAUAAAUUUGAAUGCUAAUUUAAAAAUAAUAUAAUAUAGCAAAUAAAGAUAGAUUUCGAUUUUCUAAGAGCCAAAGCUCUAAUACCAGAUGAUAUCAAAUUAAGCUUAGGC
Molecule: long non-coding RNA, 1597 nt
Filed under: Carica papaya (papaya)
Lineage: Eukaryota; Viridiplantae; Streptophyta; Magnoliopsida; Brassicales; Caricaceae
Description: long non-coding RNA (CPAP_LNC013979)
Source: RNAcentral